UUGUAUGUGUGUUUGUGUGCGUGUGUGCAGUUGUACAGAAAAAACAGGAAUGCCCCAAAUUUACACAAGAUGCAAAUAUGGAUGAAUGUCUGAUUUUCAUGAUGUAAACUGGUAAAAUAUGUGAGGAGAAAGGAGAGGUUGGUAAAUGAAAUUGAACCUGACUUUUUGAUUGAAAAAUGCUGUAUUUCCCUCAUUUCCCUGCUGUUCCUUUCUCAGGCAGCAGCUCAGAUUUGACAGCCACAAUUAUGAAAUCGGCAUACCAAAGGCAAUCUUUUUGUUUCAAAGAGUUUUCUGAUAAAAUGGUUCUUCAAAAUGGGCUUGGAUUUAACUCUCCAUAUCUACCUCUUGCCUCCUGUAUUUUGGAAGGUUUGAAAACCACUGCCAGGCUCUACCGUGAGAAAGAAUAUAAUUCUUGCUGCCUUAGUUUACCCAGUUCUGUUUGACAAGUGCUUCACAGAGGAGUUGCAAGGCCAAUGCAGUUCAGUGUUUGGGAAGAUCAUCAGAGAUCCCUGAUGAAAGAUGCUGUGCAACUUAAUGUUAUUGUAUUUUUCCUCACAGAUUUAUGAAAAAUUAUUUUAAAAGCUUCAUUCCUUCUGUUUGGUAGAAAUAAAUCAUUCACAACUGGUAACA
Molecule: long non-coding RNA, 630 nt
Filed under: Anser brachyrhynchus (Pink-footed goose)
Lineage: Eukaryota; Metazoa; Chordata; Aves; Anseriformes; Anatidae
Description: lncRNA (ENSABRG00000013406.1)
Source: RNAcentral